This 292-nucleotide ribosomal RNA is filed under the name uncultured prokaryote. Its description in RNAcentral is "partial 16S ribosomal RNA". It matches the Rfam family "Bacterial small subunit ribosomal RNA", at positions 505 to 796 of the family's 1533-position model. The record is from RNAcentral.
GUGUCAGCCGCCGCGGUAAUACGGAGGGUGCAAGCGUUAUCCGGAUUUAUUGGGUUUAAAGGGUCCGUAGGCGGACCAAUAAGUCAGUGGUGAAAGCCCAUCGCUUAACGAUGGAACUGCCAUUGAUACUGUUGGUCUUGAGUGAGGUUGCAGUGGCUGGAAUGUGUAGUGUAGCGGUGAAAUGCUUAGAUAUUACGCAGAACACCAAUUGCGAAGGCAGGUCACUAAGCCUCAACCGACGCUGAUGGACGAAAGCGUGGGGAGCGAACAGGAUUAGAAACCCCAGUAGUCC